AUUGAACGCUGGCGGCGUGCUUUACACAUGCAAGUCGAGCGGUAACAGGUUAAGCUGACGAGUGGCGAACGGGUGAGUAAUGCAUCGGAACGUGCCCGAUCGUGGGGGAUAACGCAGCGAAAGCUGCGCUAAUACCGCAUACGAUCUGAGGAUGAAAGCGGGGGACCGUAAGGCCUCGCGCGAUCGGAGCGGCCGAUGUCAGAUUAGGUAGUUGGUGGGGUAAAGGCUCACCAAGCCAACGAUCUGUAGCUGGUCUGAGAGGACGACCAGCCACACUGGGACUGAGACACGGCCCAGACUCCUACGGGAGGCAGCAGUGGGGAAUUUUGGACAAUGGGCGAAAGCCUGAUCCAGCAAUGCCGCGUGCAGGAAGAAGGCCUUCGGGUUGUAAACUGCUUUUGUACGGAGCGAAAAGGUUCUCUCUAAUACAGAGGGCUCAUGACGGUACCGUAAGAAUAAGCACCGGCUAACUACGUGCCAGCCGCCGCCGUAA
This 493-nucleotide ribosomal RNA is filed under the name uncultured bacterium. RNAcentral's name for it is "partial 16S ribosomal RNA". It matches the Rfam family "Bacterial small subunit ribosomal RNA", at positions 30 to 523 of the family's 1533-position model. The record is from RNAcentral.